CUUAAAACUUUACGGCUCUUCAUGAUACGCACGAUUGCGGCAUCGAUAGAAAAUCUUCUGUCCUUGUCGACAUCUUCGAUUAUCUUCUUCUUCUCCUCUACUAAGGGGAGAGGUAUCUGUAACCCAAAUAAGUCAUAUUAAUGUAUACGUGACACACUAUACGAGGACAAAGAUGGAUGGUUUUUCUCUAAUUUUUUUUUUCCUUCAUUGCAUUCUGUGGGCUAAAUUUUCUUGGGUUGUUUGCAUAUUACACCAGCAAAUAUACGAGUCACCAAAAUACCCCCAAAAGUCUUGCUAAGUUGCACGUAUGCCAUACAGCAAAAAUCGACAUGAAAAACUUCAACUGAUAUCGCUAAUUUUUUUUCUCCCGUACGUACCAUAAACGUGGCACACACGCAAAUAAACAGGGUUUUCAGGAACAUGCACACAAAUACAAACCUCACACGGUUAUCGAUGCAAUGUUCUUACUGAAUGGGAAAGUACGCAAAAAACCAUUUUUUUUCUUGAAUUGACUAAAAUACCCCUAAUGCAAUUUGCAGAAAAGUUGUGCACAGACAGAAAGAAAUGAAGCAAUUGCACAGCAUCUUGGACAGGUGUUUUUUUUUUUUUUUUUUUUUUUUUUUAUUGCGAGUAGAAGAUUGUACCUUGAUUCUUCUCAUCUUGUCGGUGAACUUCAAAUUGAACUCAAAAACAUCAGUCGGAGAGAUGGAUCUGGUAUUCGGCUCUUUUGUGAGAAUCUUGUAUCUCGCGCAGGAGAGGGAAUGCAACAAUCUCGCAACAUCGUUCUCCGACAAUUGCAGCCGCUCCACAAUAUCCGAAUAACUCAAUCUAUCCGCGGCAUUGAAUAGCAGCAAAAGAGCAGCCUGUCAAACAAGAAAGACUGUCAGUCUGUCACUACAAAAUUUGACAGUAAACGCUUUUCGGCUAUUAUACUACUUUACAUAAUGUUGUGCUCAAAUUGUAUUAAAGCGAACAGAAAACAAAAACCUGAUAGGUUGUGACAAUCAGCUCCAUAGUUUUGGGCUCGAAGUUGCCGUUGACGAUGCAGGUGCCCAACGAGAAUAUCCAUGUAAGCUUCCUGCGCUUGGUUUUCGCCGCGUAAAACUCUUUGAAAGCCCCAACACACUUCAGCUGGAAAAGGAAAGAAAAUUCGAACAAUAUAGCCAAACAAUGCGAGCACAAAAACAGCCUUAGAGGAAGAAUGAAAUCGGUUACCAUCUCGGCAGGAAGGCUGACGUCAAAGGAUUUGUAAGUAGGCCAGAUUCCGGCUGUCAAGACUGUCACCGUGAAAUCUAGAUCAAGAUCCACAUGAGGGUCAGAAUCUAAAUACUCCUCAAAACUCGCUUGGUUUUCUCUCGCGAGUGUAAUAUCGGUAGCCAUUCCCUCCAAUUUUGAGGUGAGUUGCCCUCCGCACUCCUGCUUCAACUUCGCGAGAAAACUCCUUUCAUGCUCGUCACUAGCAUUUCUUUCGAAAAGCAACCUCCUAGCGAGCUUCUUCCUACAGAUUAUUUUACAUAAAUAGGUCGAUAAGCCUACGAAAGUGAUAUCACUAGAAUAAGAGCAUGAAAGCCAUUGCAACAGAUAAAAUCAGUUACCUGUAAAACUCUGCAAAAAGGUCCUUGUCGUGGAUAAAAGCGAGCAACUUUACGACCUGUGAAGUAUAACGAUUUAGAUGAGAUGAGCGAGACUAAAGAGCUGUAAAAGAUACAGAGACAUCCAAUGAAAUUGGAACGACACGGAGAAGAUUAGCAUUGGCCUUGCGCAAGGACGAUAUGCACAAAUCGAGAAAUGGUUCAAAAUUGUGUUAUGUUGUUUUUCCUGGGUGAAAUUGAAUGUACGAGUUUUAUUUAUGCCUUUAAUAGGGAGGGAAAACUCUAUUCGUUCGACGGAUCUGUACACGCACCCGCAUUGUCUCCGCUGUGCAAUGGGGUGGGGCGUGACAAAUUAAGGUGCACAAGAAGAGUGACGAGAAGGGCGAGUGACAGGGAUUUACGUACCGUCUCGAGCAUCUCUUCAAUAGCUUCACCACUUAGUUUCUCGCCUCCGCCAUUCUUUAGCGCAUUAUCACAAAAGCUAGCCAACAACUCCGCGCUCGAACUCCCCAUGAUGUUUUUGUUGCAGAAAAACUCGCACGCCUCUUUGAGCGCCUAAUGUAAGGGAGGAAAAGGUGAAAAAUAUCCUCUCUCUUUUCCAUCGAGAUUUGGAAAACAAGAGCAGUACUAACCUUAUGGAAAAGGGAGUCAUUCUGGAAGCAAUCAUUCACGUAGGCCAAGUUCUUGUCGUGAAGCGCGAUAACUUUUCUAACGAAGCUCUGCGAUUUGAGAAUCGACUGGUUAGAACAAGUAGUGCUAGCAGCCAAAUCAAUCAGUUUGGAGUGACAAAAAGUGUCGAAGACAAACCUGUUCUUGCAGACCGACAAUGUCCUUUUUAUUCCCCUGCAGAGACGUCGUUACAAUUAGAGAAUAAAAAAAAAUUCAGAUAUACACCGAAAUAAUAGGAUUAAAAAUCAGCAAGAGUUGUCACUGAAUCCAACAGAUAUACGCCGAUAAUCAGAAGUUCUCAAUGACCAUCAACUUAACUACUUUCAUGAACAAACUUAGGCGAAACUCAAAACUUGCCGCAUAACAUAAUAAGACGAGAGAAGUGAUGUUCACCUGCUUAUUGCUGGCAGAAUUCUCCGCUUGCUUCACCAGCGCGGUACCUUCCGCAACGACAUGCUACAUAAAAGUGAUCAUUUUAGAUGUUGCGAAAACCAAGCAAAACAAAAAGAAAGGAGCACAAUGUACAAAGUAAGCAAAGACGAAGCAUCCGAACCUGCUUGAACAUCUCCGAAACUUGUUCUAGCACAUUAGUGAUCUUACUGAACAGCCUAUACAUCCUCGAAAGAUCGUCCACCUAAAACACAAAGAACAAGACACAUGGCCGUCAAUCUCCGUCGCCAUAACAAAAGAAGAGAAAAGAAAAGACAAAAAGAAAGAAAAUCCUUUUUUUUUUAUCUAUUUGACCUUCUCGUCACGAAGCAAUGCACGGAAGCCGAAAUAUUCGUUCUCCAAAAGCUGGCUCGCGUGCUCAAUCAGUAACUUACGUUGUACUUUCUGCCGACAUCACAAGAAUGAGAGAAAAAUAGAAUUAUGGAAUCAAUAACGCAAAGAUUCUGGUAACAAAAAGUGUCAGAACUUCUCCGCAUGAAUCGAUAAAAUCGGAGAGAUAAAUAAGUACCUUCAACAAUUUCUCUCCGCUGUAAUAGUGCAGGUAAUGAGCAACUCUAUCCUUUUCGAUCUUUAAGCACUCCUCAGCCUACAACAAGCAACAAAAAAUCCGUGUAAUUUCACGUCUACUCGUCGAACAAGAGUUUUCGUAUAUUUAUCGGAUUAAAGGAAUUACGUACAUUUCGUAUGUAAUCCAGACAUGACUUCUCCAAAAUCCACUCUGAAGCCUUUCGAGAAUAAUAUGCAGAAGUAUGCUUGAGGAAGAAUUUUUCAAAAUCUUCUGUGUAGUAGUCCAACUCCGACGCUCCAAUCUCGACAAAAAUAUCCACGAUAUUCUUCACUAAGGCUUUGUCGAUCUGUUCGCCUUCACGUUCUUGAUCAAUCUAUAUAUCAAAUUGUAUAGUUAGCGCUUAGCGACGCGAAAAGCUUAGAAACUAAUGCGGUCAAAAGUUUAGAAAGAUGUGCAGCUACGUACCAACGAGAUCACUGUAUCUUUCGCUUUGCCCUUCACCUCUUCAUAAACCUAAAUCAAACCAGAGAAAAGAGAAACACGUAGGAUAGCUAUUACAUUCGAAAUAGUAGAUAAAAAAUAGUUAAAAAAGAAUUCGUCGAUUACUGAACAAACACAUAGGAUUAUCUUUUUACUAAGUUUUCGCAAGAAAUUGAACAAUGAUGCCAAAUUAUGCAUUUGAAAGUGUAGAAACUCUAUGUGCCAGUCACAUACCAGAUUGCGAAAACACGUCAGAGCGACGGCGCUAAGAUUAGGCUUUUUCGACUUCUUAACGUAGUGACGCUCGAGAUGAUCGAAAAAACGUGAGAGCCAGCGAAACAUAAGUCGAUGAUUUGACCAUUGUUUAAGUAGCUCCUUCAACAUGAAUUCAUCGUGCUUCUCUCUCAAUGAAGGCAACACCUGCAGUUCAUGAAGCUUUUCACGACUUACAAUACGCAAAAACGGACUCAACGAAGUACUUUUCGUCCAUUUAUUACAAAGAGUUAUGCUAUUAGCAGGGACAAAGUUACUACUUACAGAUAAAUACAUUGAAUCUUGUCAUAUCUGUUACUGUCAUAAAUAAUAGUACUCACCACUGAAGUGAUGUAGUCGUCGAACACUGCCUUAUACUUGUCAUACAAGUCCUCGUCGUACUGAUAAGGACUUUUCUGCGAGCACAUCAUGUAGACAGUUCUGAUCCAAAACAAUACCAUCAGAAUAGUUGUUAACAUUGAAAAAAAAAAAUCAAAAAACUAAAGUUGUUAGAAUGUUUCAAAAACAACUUCAUUGAAAAAAAGAAAGAGCAGAUACAUGUAAAAAGUUGUGCACCCUACAAAAAUUAAAAAUAAAGUAAAUUCUCUAGAGUUUUAAAAUUGUGGAUUGUCCCUGUAAAGUUUGAAGGGUAAACUUCAAAUUGCCCCCUUGUGGUUUAGCUCGUUUUUACUUCGCCACUCCGUGGUUCAAAAAGUCUCACUUUGCCCCUUCUUACAGUUUAGCAUAUUUUUAUCGAUAGAGUUUUAAAUCACGGGGUACUAAAGUAAGAAAGUGCGAAACCACCAUCUCGAGCUAAUCACGGGGUAUCAUCAGAAUAGUUGUUUUAAAAAUAAAGUAAAUUCUGUAGAGUUUUAAAUCACGGAGUAUUAAAAUGAGAAAGUGCGAAACCACAAGGUACUAACUUGAUACACUUUAAACCACAGGUUACUAAAAUAAAAAAGUGCGAAACCACAAGGGGGUUUUUGGCGUUUUUCUAAAGUUUAAUGAGUUUUUUUGCCCGAAUUGAAAUUUCAGGCGCCUGUUUGCAAAUGAGCUAAAGUUUUAGAUGAUCUCCGUACAUUUUACCGAAAAAAAUAAAAAGAUAAGAGAGAGAACCAUACGUGUACAAAUUUAUGUAUGCCUUGGCGCUGAAAUUGGUUUUAUCUCGCCCUUGUAAGAUGUUCUUGAUCUUUCUAAUCCCUUCCUCUACGAAGCCCCAUCCCACCUCAAAUUCCUUCACCACCAUCUCGAGCGAAUCCCACGUCUCAAUCUCCAUCCCUACAACACAAUCAAAGUCCAAGCACAAAAUCAAAAGCGGCGGAAAACUAAUUUUUUGUUUAUUUAUAUAAUAAUUUUUUAUUUAUAACUUUUUUUCCUUUUUUAACUAAAAAAUCGUGACGAAAAACUAAUUUUUUUAGCGUAAAAUUUAUUUUCCUCCGAAAAUUUUUUUUUCCCACCGAAAACGAAAACUUGUAGAAGAAAACACGGCUCACGUACAGUAAAUGCAUUGCGGUCCACGAGCUUAGGGUGAGAGCUCGUGGACCGCGUGAGUGUGGUCCAUGCUGGACCACACACCCAUCUCUCUCUCUAUCUCGUAAAUGUAUAUGUAUAUAUAUAUAAGAGAGAGAGGAUAAAGAAUUAUUAUAUAUAUUUUAUAUUUUUAUUAUAUAAUUAAUAUAGUGUUAUAUAAAUACUAGGAUAUAUAUUAUAUUAUAUACUUAUUAUAUCAAUUUAUUAUAUAAUAUGAUUUUGAUAUAUCUAAUUUAUUUAGAAAUAUAAAUUAUAAUAAUAAUAAAUAUAUUGUGAUAAUUAUUAUAUAUUAAUGAUAUAUAAUAUAAUAUAUAGAAUAGGAGAAAAUAUAUAAUAGUUUUUUUAUUUAUCUUUUUCUUAUUAUUUUUUUUUUCAACCAAACAAUCGUGAUAAAAAAAUCAUUUUUUCUUUUCUAUGAACCAAGCACUGAAAAGCGUAAAAGAGUGACAAAGUAAAAAAUUAAAAUUCAUCCUAAUGAAAAAUACGGUAAUGAUCGUGCGUCGUGAAUCAUCACCUUUUCGUUGUCAGAGACUCACCGAACACGUUCACGAUUAAACCUUAAAGUGUCUCGAUUUUUUUUUUUUUUUGGUAAGGAGUGUCGUAUCUGUUUAUCGACACUUAUAAUGCAAUUUCGACGCACGAGCGCGGCAGGUAACAAGUUAAUCGGAACAUUAACGAAAAGUGUAACCAAAAAAAAAGAAAAAAACACUCAUAGAAUAUAACGCAAAAAAAAAAAAUACCACAUGAAGAAGAAAACUACAUGAAGAGUAUCUAAAGUUAAAAAUAAAGAAAAGAAAAAAAAAAAAAAGAAAAAGAGAGAGAAUUAAGAAAAAAUAAAAUGCAAACUUACGAUCUUCGAUCAACACCAUGUUCCAACGCCCCAAGCCCUAAUUCCGUGGUUUUUUUAAAAAAAUUUUUUAACGCAUCAAUAAAACGGGAAUUUAUUUAUAGAAAACGGUAGGUAAUGUUAUUUGUAUUCUAAUCCCAUAAGAAAUAAUAAUAAAAUAAUUAUAAUUAUUAUUAAAAUUAGCGGGUUAGGAUAAUGGGAUUUUACUAUUUAAGUCGGAUUACGAUUCGGGUUUGUUAUUCUUAGUUGGAUUCGAAUUAUGAAUCCGAUACUGAUAUCAGUUUUUUUUUUAUUUUUUCAUAUUAUUAAACGUUAUUUCUUUUUUUAGAAUCUUGAAAAUAUUUUAAAUCUUUUUCUUUUUUUUUUUCCCCUCCACUCCUCCCCUUCCCUCCCAUCUCCUCCCCUCUCUAACCCACUCGAAGCUAGGGUUUAUCCGAAGCUAGGGUUUAGUGAAAAGUAUAACCAAAAAAAAAAAAAAAUCAAAANNNNNNNNNNNNNNNNNNNNNAAUAAUAAUAAUAAUAAUAAUAAUAAUAAUAAAAUAUAUAUAUUUUAUAAAAUAUAUAUAUUUUAUAAAAUAUAUAUUUUUUAUAUUUUUAUUUUAUAAUUAAUAUAGUGUUUUAUAAAUACUAGGAUAUAUAUUAUAUUAUAUACUUAUUAUAUCAAUUUAUUAUAUAAUAUGAUUUUGAUAUAUCUAAUUUAUUUAAAAAUAUAAAUUAUAAUAAUAAUAAAUAUAUUGUGAUAAUUAUUAUAUAUUAAUGAUAUAUAAUAUAUAGAAUAGGAGAAAAUAUAUAAUAGUUUUUUUUAUUUAUCUUUUUCUUAUUUUUUUUUUUUCAACCAAACAACCGUGAUAAAAAAAUUAUUUUUUCUUUUCUAUAAACCAAACACUAAAAAGCAUAAAAGAGUGACAAAGUAAAAAAUUAAAGUUCAUCCUAAUGAAAAAUACGGUAAUGAUUGCGCGUCGUGAAUCAUCACCUUUUCGUUGUCGGAGACUCACCGAACACGUUCACGAUUAAACCUUAAAGUGUCUCGUUUUUUUUUUUUUUUGGUAAGGAGUGUCGUAUCUGUUUAUCGACACUUAUAACGCAAUUUCGACGCACGAGCACGGCAGGUAACAAGUUAAUCGGAACAUUAACGAAAAGUGUAACUCAAAAAAAAAAGAAAAAAACACUCAUAGAAUAUAGCGCAAAAAGAAGUAAACCAUAUGAAAAUUAUUUCAAGUUAAAAAAAAAGAAAAGAAAAGAAAAGAAAAAAUAAAAUGCAAACUCACAAUCUUCGAUCAACACCAUGUUCCAACGCCCCGAGCCCUAAUUCCGUGGUUUUUUUUUAAAAUUUUUUUAAUGCAUCGAUAAAACGGGGAUUUAUUUAUAGAAAACGGUGGUUAAUGUUAUUUGUAUCCUAAUCCCAUAAGAAAUAAUAAUAAAAUAAUUUUAAUUAUUAUUAAAAUUAACGGGUUUGGAUAAUGGGAUUUUACUAUUUAAGUCGGAUUACGAUUCUGGUUUGUUAUUCUUAGUUGGAUUCGAAUUAUGAAUCCGAUACUGAUAUUAGUUUUUUUUUUUUUUUUCAUAUUAUUAAACGUUAUUUUUUUCUUUAGAAUCUUGAAAACAUUUUAUUUUAUUUUUUUUAUUUUUUUAUUUUCCCUCCACUCCUCCCCUUCCCUCCCAUCUCCUCCCCUCUCUAACCCACUCGAAGCUAGGGUUUAUCCGAAGCUAGGGUUUAGUGAAAAGAAUAACCAAAAAAAAAAAAAAAAAAAAAAAAAAAAAAAAAAAAAAAAAAAAAAACCAUAUGAAAAAAAAAAAAUAUCUAAAGUUAAAAAAAAAAGAAUUAAAAGAAAAAAUAAAAUGCGAACUCACGAUCUUCGUUCGACACCAUGUUCCAACGCUCCAAGCCCUAAUUCCGUGGUGUUUUUUUUUUUUUUCUUAAUGCAUGAAUAAAGAGAAGAUUUAUUUAUAGAAAACUGUGAUUAAUAUUAUUCGUAUCCUAAUCCGAUAAGAAAUAAUAAUAAUAAUAAAAAUAAAAAUAAAAAUGUUAUUCGUAUCCUAAUCCGAUGAGAAAUAAUAAAAUAAUUUUAAGUAUUAUUAUUAAAAUUAAUAAUGGGUUUAGAUAAUGGGAUUUUACUAUUUAAGUGUGGGAUUAGGAUUCGAAUUUGUUAUUAUCCUUAUAUUUAUAUUUGGAUUUGGCUUAUCUUAUUAUUCUGUACGUAUCUAGAACUUUUAUUUCUUAAUUUAUUAGAAUCUUCAAAAUAUUUUAAAUCUUUUUUUUUUUUUAUCUUGUUUUUUCCCGCUCCGCUCCUCUUCCCACCUCUCUAGGGUUUAUCCGAAGCGAUCUCGCUCCCCCAAGCCAUGGAGGAGGCCCCAAGGAAGAGGAAUCCUCCCCUGCGGAGGACGAAUCGACUCUCGUAUCGGAGCCGAAGAGGCAGCGGAUCUCCGGUCAGGACGAGGACGGCGGCGGCGGCGGCGGCGGCGGCGGCGGCGGAGGUGAAGGGGGAGAGGCGGAGAACGGGAACAGGGGGUCGCUUCUAGGGCUUGCGGGUUACAAGGGUGAUGAGGAUGAAGAAGAGGGAGAGGGAGAGGGAGAGGGAGAGGGAGAGGGAUUGCCCUUACCUAGACAAUGUUGAUCGCCAGGUUAUACUCUCUCUCUCUCCCUCUCUACAUCUGGAAGCAGAAGCUUUAGAGUUGAUGCUCUUGGUUUUGGGCCCAGAAUCCAUCUUGAAACCUGCUAAAGAAAUGCUUUUUUGAAUCUACUCGUCCGGAGCUUCUAUCAAGCUAAUCUGCGAAGAGAGCUGCUCAUAUUAUUGUUUCCAAUAAAGAACAUGGAAUGUGUUGAGUCUAAAAAUAUUCAUACACCAUUUUCUAGUGACUUAGGGUUAGGGAGCAUUUGGAUUAACGGAGUUUUUGAUUUGGCCUUAAAAAGCAAAUUUCCUACGAGUCGAGAUAUUAGUUUUGUCGUCCAUCAUGAAGACAUAGAGAAGAUCCGGUAGCUAAUCAUUAGCUUAAAUUUUCAGGAACAAUUUCUCUUUGAAAUCGUCUGAAUAUCCCGGCAUUGUGCUAGUUGUUGGGAAGAUCAAUAUUUUUACUAUCGUCGAAGUUGAUUUUCAGCCGAACUGCAACUACAUUAAACCAAUCGCCCCCUUAGGCUUUUAGAGAAGAAUGGUCGUUUUAUAUGCUAUUUGUGGAUUUCAAGUCCAUUUCUGGGGCCCAUCGAAGAGUCUCAAGCCCAGAAACGGGUUUGUAUCAUAGAAUGCGUUUCUUUGGACCGUCUAGCCGCCUGAGCCUUCUUAGUGCUUCAACAUUGAUAUCUUGCAUAGUUUCUCUGCUUCCCUCUACUCAUUUUGUCUUUUGUUUCAUAAUAUUAAUGUUAACGCUUUCAACAAAAUGAGCAACAUGUGAUGACAAGCUAUAAAUCAUAACUUCUAUUUGAGGACAAUAGAAGGAAAGCAUUUUGAUUAGUAGUCUUUUGGUUUUUACUGUCAAGAAGGGGAUUUGAACUAUGAGAACUGGCAUGUUCCUAAAAUAACGUGUUUUAACUCUUAUAUAGAGUCGCAGUGGGUGGGCAUUUAAGUAAUCAUCUUUUCACCAUCUUUGUCAUGAUAAUGACUGUUAUUAUUUAUGCCAUUUUCUAUUCAUAUUAUUGUUGAAUGCCGCUAUUUGAUUCCUGGAAAUAUACAACAGAUAGAAAUAAUGAACUGUCUUCCUGCAAUUUAAUAAUAAAUAAGUAGUUUGUGGGCUACUUGGAGAGUUCUCUUGCUGGUUUGUCUCAUAUUAUUUGUUCAUUCUUUUGCAGGUCUUGAACUUUGAUUUUGAGAAAUUUUGCUCUAUCUCUCUGCCAAAUUUGAACGUAUAUGCAUGCUUAGUUUGUGGGAAGUACUACCAAGGAAGAGGUCUCAAGUCUCAUGCAUAUACACAUAGCCUUGAAGCAGGCCACCAUGUUUAUAUUAAUCUCGAGACCGAGAAAGUCUAUUGUCCUGCUGAUGGAUGCGAGAUAAAUGAUCCAUCAUUACAUGAUAUCCGACACGUUCUUAACCCAAGGUAUUGCAGCUGGUUACUUCAUGCUUUUAGCAGUAUUACUUGUAUGAUUAGCUAUAUCAUGUAUUCCUUGCUGGUCAAAUAUUCAAAUCCUUGUUUAAUGUGUUCCUUCUAGUUUAUUACUAUUUCUAGGUUUAGAUCUAAAUUGAUAUAACUGGAUUGAGAUGAACUUUUUCCAUGUUGUCGAAUUUAUAUGUAGAUGCUCAAGUUUAGUUUCUUUUCCUAUUGCAAAAUUGGAAGGAAAAGUGGGUAGGAAGAGGAAUUCUUACAUCCCUAAAUUGAGCUGUUAGUAGAAGAUUAAAAGUGUCGUCACUCUUUUUUGUAUGUGCUUUUCAUUGAUAUUGAAGAGGCAAUUUUUUUCAAUAGGCAGUAAGUAUGUGCUUUUCAUUGAUAUUGAAGAGGCAAAUUUUUUCCAGUAGGCGGUAAGUAGAAAAACUUGCUCUCUUGUAGGCAUGCUGCUUUUAGUACUUUUUUUUUUAGAUUAAGAUUGUGAAAAUGUUAAUCUUCUGCUUCUCAUUAGAUGAAUGGAUUCUAGCGAUUAGACAAAGAAAUAAAAAGAAAAGGUGCAGGAUUUGUUAUUACAAGGAAAGCUUUAUAUGAAGUCACUAAAUCUACUAAAUCCACUUACAAGGAAAGCUUUAUAUGAAGUCAACUAAAUCUACUAAAUCCACUUCUAAUAAUAAGUGCUCUUCUUUGUCUUCAUUUUCAAAUGAAUACUUUUCUUCCUGAUAUUAAACUUAUGAUUUCAAAUAUUUAUGGUUUGAGCAUUGUUAAUCUCUCAAAGCUUGUCAAAGUAGCAUGCGGAAUAUACUUCUUUCCCCUUUAAUAUAGCUGUUUGCAAACAUAUAUUCUUUUAGUUUUUAAUAUAUGCUUGUGUUUUUCUGCUAUCUAUCUUGUUUACGCAUCAUUUCCAUUUUCAUUAGAAUUUUAAUCUAUUCUGGUUACUAAAUUAUUUUACUUUCAUGUGUAGAUUCUCUAGAGAGCAAGUCCUACAUCUUGAUGAAAAUAGGCAAUGGUCAAGAGCACUUGACGGCUCCAAUUAUCUCCCUGGAAUGGUAAAUUUCCAUGCAUUUUGUGCAAAUUUCUCCCCGCACACAUAAAUACUCAUAGAAAGAAAGAAACGUAAAGUCAUUUCGGAGAGAAAUAUCAAUACUUGUGGUUAUGCAUACUUGUGAAAGUUUGCAAAUGAUAUUCGAUGCCAUGGUAUGCUGAAAAUAGUGUAAAUGAUAAUUCGAUGCCAUGGUAUGCUUAAAAUAGUAGUCCAUUACUUCUAGGUCAGAUUAUGAGGUAAAAAGCAUACAGCAGAAAUAUAUGCUGAAUGGUAUUUUGCUUACUGUUGCCUUUCUUCUUUUUUUCCCCCCUUCAAUCAAUGAAGGAAAAUUCAACGUCAAAACUAAAUAUAUAGUUUUUCUUCGUCUUCGUCUAGACUCUAGACCUCUUGCAUGUUUGUGGAAUUAUUGAUGGCUGAUAAUUUGUCUCUAUUUUAUUGUGCCAAGAAUUUUUUAACAAUCACAAAUGAAUUUCUUAUCAAUUUAAUGAGAGUUGAUGACUUGACAACUGGUUUAAAGGGAGGCUGAGCACUAACUUUGCUCUUGCUAAAAUGUAGUUACAUCACUUUUUUUGGGGGGGUUAUUAUGUUUAGGUUGUUAUCUUGAUUAUUUACAUGGAUUAGUUAAUUAGAAAGCAAAAACAGCCUUUAUCUAUAUGUCUAUUUACUGAUGCUGACAUGAGAUGAUAAUAUUUGAAGCAAAUACAAGAGUACCGCUUAUAUCGCAAUUCAUAGAAACCCAUGAAGAAAUUAUAAAUUCUGCAUCUGUGCUACUUGUAAUAGAAUUCAUAGAAAUUGGAACCAAUAUAUAUAUAUAUUUCUGAAUGAUUGCGUCAUGUUUUCAGUUGUUCAACUCCAGGGACAGUUGAUUUGUAUUGAAACAAUCCAGGCAGAAUAUUCUUUAUGUCAAUCCUGGGAUAGUUCAAUAGUAAUCUUUUCUUUAUCUUGUUCUUUUUUAAAAAAAUUUCAGGUGGUCUUAAUAACAUUAAGGAGACUGAUUUUGUUAAUGUCACAAUACAAUCCUUAAUAAGAGUCACUCCCUAUCAACAUAGCAAGUCCCCCCUCGAUCAUCAUUUUGGAGAACUGACUCGCAAGAUUAGGCAUGCAAGGAACUUCAAGAGGCAGGUUGAUUUUUCCAGCUUUUAGUUAACUACCUAAAAGUCACGUUUGGUGCCCAGGAUUGGAUUAGAUAGGAUAAGAAGAGCAUUUGAUGUUGGACAGAGGGUUCACUGACUUGGAGGUCUCAGAGGGUCGCAAUAGGUGGGGAGUCCAGUGAUGUACAGCAGGAGUUUUUCGCCACUUCCAACUGCCUCCAAGUUGCUAUAUCUUCGCACCAACAUCGCUCUAUCAUUUUAUACAGGUACAAUCCAAUCCUGGCUGCCAAGUGGGCAUUUCGAGACAUGCAACAGAUUCUUUUCUUUUGGCCGUAACUCUGUCCGUCUUCAGGUCAGUCCACAUGAGUUCCUGCAGGCAGUUAUGAAGGCCAGUGAUAAGAGGUUUCAAAUUGGUGCACAGUCCGAUCCUGUGGAGGUUGUGUCCUGGCUUUUGAAUACACUGCAUGCAAAAUUAAGGAGCUCGAAGAAGGAAAAUAGGAGCAUUAUACAUGACUUCUAUCAGGUUUUGGUUGCACAACUUUUUCUCUCUUUUUUUCCUGGGGUUAUUAUGUAUAUAUCCUACAAAAUUUCCUAUUUACAUAUUUAUCUCCCAUAUAAUCUGAAUUUUCUCAUAUACUUCUUGAAAGUGCAUUUUCUUGCAAAAAUGUCAUCUCCAAUUCAUUGGAGAGAGUUGGCUUAGUGUUGGAAAAUGUUUUUAAGCAGUACUUUAGUAAGUACAAGGGUAGCAAAAAUGACUGUGAAGGGAAAAUAGGAAAAAUUCAAAUUUUGCGAGGACAUACAUGUAAAAAAAAAAAACUCUUUUUUUUGGGUUCAGUGUCGUCUUGUAUCAUACGUAUGACAGAAGGAUUGUGGCAGGGGGAACUUGAAGCUGUUAAGGAGAUCCAUAAAAUGACCUCUUCUGGAAAAGAAAGAGAAUGGUGAAGCGGAGAACCGCGUAGCUGUUUCAGAGGGUGGAGCAACAAAUGUGAAUGUCGUGGCAGAAGUGUCUAGAGUGCCAUUAUUCUUUGGUAUUUCACCCUUUAUCUGACUGAUGGGUUAGAAGUGAAAUUAUAUGAUUUGAUCAAACUGUGACCAUUAUCGAAAAAAAUAUUACAACUGUUUCAGGAUAAAUAGCUCCAGGUGAUAAUGGUACCCCAACAAUUAUCAGUUUAUACGAGGUAAGAGAAAGCGAGUGGAAUUCUAUUGUUAUAGUUAUUACACCAUCCAUCAAUUGAAAUAAUGGCUCCAAAGAAUACUGUGCUUCCUACUUAGGCUUGAAUCUGUUACUUCCUUGCAUUCCACACUAUCACUAAUAAGAAGUGCAUGUUUGUCCUUGUAAAGAGGCAGGUGACGAAACUUGAAAAAAAUCCUAUCCCUCUGUUAGUCUUUUGUCUUAAAGAAUUCUAUUUGUGAUGUAUUCUCUAUGAUAAACGUUGCAGGUAUGAGAUUAAAGUGAGGGAGCAACAAGAAUCAUUAAGAAACCAGAGGAAAUUACAGGUUUGAAAUUAGAAUCUUUACAAAUUUUCCACCUCUUAAAUGGCAACUUGCCUUAUUUUAAUUAGGAUUAGCAGGUUGUUUACAUUGCCUACCAAAGCCUCGUUGGGUUAUGCUUACUUUUAUGUUUUUUUUUUUCAAAAACCAAAUUGUAUACAAUUGAAUGCACUAGUGUAUGAUUGAUUGGUUGCAAUCCGUUCAUAUAUGGUGUUUGUUUGCCAUUAAAGCGAAAAAAUUUACUUUUUGGUUGCGAUUUUGUUUUCCUUAACUUCUCUGUUCUUAUUAUUGUCGUGAGCUUGCAAACUUGGUAGUUUUUUUUUUUUUUUUUUUUUUUUUAAAGCAAAAAAGAAGUUAGUAUUAAAUAUUUGUUUUUGUUGUCAAACAAAUCCAAUGGAUGUAUAGAUUGCAAGCAACAUGUCGUCCGCCAAUGUAUUCCAAUGAAUAGAAUCUUAAAUUUUAAAAAAAAGGGCAUCACUAACCGUUAACAAAAUGAGGCUUAAAAAAAAAUAAUAAUAAUAAUGGGGAAAAAGAAAAAUCACUAACCAAUGUACUGUAACCUAAUGAGGCCUACUAGUUUAGUUUCCUGAUUUAGAUAUAGCCACUUUCUUUAUUGGCUUUCUCAUAAGCUAUCUUCUGGCAUCCUCAGUAAAGUUUAUUGUGAAUAUUUUAACCUAAUCAGGUGACUUAAGAGCCGUUGCUGUAACAAAUGAAUCCUUUGUAUGCUUGAUUCUAAAAUUUCAGUUUCCAAUUUUUUUGUGGUUUAUGCAUGCAGUAAUUAUUUCUGUUAAAUAAAGUCUUCUCCAUAUAUGUUCAGCUAUAUCUCCGACAUAUCUGUGACGUUAAAAUGUUUGUUGUAAAUUUGUAGGUCGGUACUGGUGUUCGUGCAGAAAAGAUAAGGACAUACAAUUACAAGGUCAGAAAUAAUUUUUCUAUCACUUCUAGACUCAUGAGCUAAUAUUACAUGAUUUCCCAUUACAUGCAUGAGGAUAAGACUAGCUGCGCAUUUCAAGUAGUUAAUAUUAAAUUUUCUUUGGCAGGGACCUUAUUCUUUAUUAAUCAUAGGAGCUGGGAUUUUUAAUCUUCAGAAACUUACUAAAACUUGUAUAUGGUUUUGUAGGACAACAGAGUAACUGACCACAGAUUGAAGAUGAAUUUUGAGCUUACAUCCUUCCUUUCAGGAGAUAUUGAGACAGCGGUUCAGGUAUGCCUUCGCAAGGAAUGCCUUUCUUUUUUCAGAUGUUAAGGUAUAGCUUAGUUUGACAAAGAAUGUUAGCCCCAAACAGAGCUGAAUACAGAGAAACAUUGAUAUAAUCGACCAAUAUGAUAGUAGGGCUUCAUCCUAGUUGUAACAUGCUUGGUAAAUAUAUAAAAAAGGUUACCAAAAUGAGUUGCAUUAUUAAAAUGUCAAAACCUCUGGUCUUUGGUGGUUUGGGCUUGCUAUACAAAGCCUUAAGGGUGGAGAAAUGAGUAUCAGCAUGCAUGUAAUUUUCUAGAUUUUUGCUUGAUGAGUUGUAACUUCUCAAAUGAGGAAAUUGAUUAACACAACCUUUUCGCAUAUUGUGGAAUAUGAAAGAAAAUAUAAAAACAUCGCUUUAUACCAUCUCAAGUUUUUGGAGAACAAUGGUUAUUUCAUAAAACUUAACAUGGUAUUAGAGUAGAAAAUCCUGAGUUUGAGUCCUGCCGGGCUUCUGGUGUUAUUUAAUUUCCUCUUAUUUAGCUUAACUCCAUGUCUUGGCUCUAUCAAAAAAUUUCAAGUCCAAACAUAAUGAAGAGUGUUGAAUAUAAAAAAUAUAGGUUUUCCUUUAUUAAUUGUUUAGGUGUAAAAGAAUCGGUCCAAAGUGCCAAAAUGUGCAAAUUUAGAAUAAGUAAACAGAGAGACAUAGGCUUGGGGGAAGGUGAGGAGGUAGAGAAGUUUCAUUCCCCAAAAUCUAAACAUGUCACGAUUCGAGUGUAUGUGAUACUCCAGGGAGAAAGUUUUUUGGGGUAGUAUUUCCCCAAAAGAACAAAAUAUGCUCGACGAAUUUGAGUUCGGAGUUUUCAUUCCCCUAAAUAUGCUUUUCCUGCAGGGAUGUGCAGCCAUGGAGCAGAAGGAACUGCUGGAGGAAAUGGCCGAGUCGGUUGGUUGGACAGCUACUUGAUCAAAUAGUUUAUCUAUCCGAUUCUCGCUGAUAGCGAGCCUCUGAUUCCGGGUUCUCAAGAAACUUGAUCAAAGCGGCCUGAUCUCGCCAAUCCAUAUCCUAACCUCUCGGAAGUUGAUUCCUGAAGCAAUGAUUCUCGGAGAUUAUUGGCGCUCUUGUUGACAGGAAAUCACUUGUUUCUGUUCACAGACUUGAACAGUUACUCAUUUGUAGUGGCUAUUGUAAUUUUAAGCUGAAAUUUUGAUUGAGAAAUACAUUGUCUUUUGCUAAUGACCAAGUUGCCGAACAUACACGAAGAUGUCGUUAUUUACGUUAACUAUGGCCGUUUCAGAUGAUCAACUUUUAAAAGUUUUUGCUUUGCUACGUAGUCUCUCGUUUCGUUUGGUUUUAAUCAUUUGAUGGCUCUUCUGUAACAUAACUGUGUUAAAAUUCCAUUGAAUAUUAUUUAUAAGUAAAAAUAUAUAAGUAUGUCGCAAAAUUUAAUGAAACAUCUCGUCGUCAGAGUUUCAUCUUAAUCAACCUAUAAAAUGAGAUGUAUCAAAUUUUACACAAAGUUAAAAUCUACAUUAAAGAGAAAAUCGCCGCCCUCAGAAAGGCAUAUAAACCUCGAAAGAUGUAACAGUAUCUCGUUCUUAUGCCGUCAGAUUCGCCGUCAGAACAAAACUUUAGAAACUUUUGUUUCAAAGAAAGGAAACAGAACCGCCGUUCUUGUGCUGUCAGAUUUGCCGUCAGAACAAAACUUCAGAAACUUUUGUUUCAAAGAAAGGAGAGAGAGCCGCCGAUCAAGCCAAGUAUCUGAACAAGCUAGGGUUAUCGUCAUCUCUCUCCAAAUACUCUCUCGUGAUGAGAUCCUCGAUCCGCUUCUUUAUCACCUUCAAGUCCGGCUAUGAAUCGCAAACACAAUAAAAGAUGUCUCUCUCGGUAAAAGAAUACUACGAAAAUAAAAUGCAACAUAACAUUGUGCGAAAUACAACCUCAAACACAGUAAUAUCUAUCGCAAAUUUUGGUUUAGCAUAGCCUUGUAAAUGGAACUUGUGAUUCUUUUAAUUCUCUCAGAAACCAAAUCUUACGGUGAUGCAUCCCCAUCUCCUACUGAACCAAUCAACUUAUCACCGGUGUUUCGAAUUUGUAAUUUUUUUUACCUUCUUUUCACUAUUUAUGUCGGACAAUAUGCUAAUUUGUCGUAUAUAAGAGAUAUAUAAGUUUCUACUGAUCCCUAAUAUAGAUAUUAGAGAGUACUAGCAUUAUAUAAUUCCGAUUAUUACAACCAAAUAAACCAAGUGAUUAAUGAUAAAAAUUUUAUAAAUCAUAAAUCCUGGCUCUAGUUAGGCUCAUAUUAACUUGCAGUUACAUAUUUCGGCCAUUAUUAGCAAAAAUUGAGGGUUUCAGAAUGUUGGUUCUGUCGGUUUAACUAAAUUGUAUCAUGCCAACAAGUAAAAGUCACUAAGAAGGAAUAAAAGCAUGAACAUGAUCAUUAAGAAGUUCGGAGAAAAGAGAAGUACCUUGAACAUGUGACUGAGCUGUUCGAUGCAUUCCGUUACCAGCUGUUGAUGGCCUAAAACUUUACGGCUCUUCAUGAUACGCACGAUUGCGGCAUCGAUAGAAAAUCUUCUGUCCUUGUCGACAUCUUCGAUUAUUUUCUUCUUCUCCUCUAAUAGGGGGAGAGGUAUCUGUAACCCAAAUAAGUCAUAUUAAUGUAUACAUGACACACUAUACGAGGACAACAGAUGGAUGGUUUUUCUCUAAUUUUUUUU
Molecule: long non-coding RNA, 17879 nt
Filed under: Ananas comosus (pineapple)
Lineage: Eukaryota; Viridiplantae; Streptophyta; Magnoliopsida; Poales; Bromeliaceae
Source: RNAcentral